Long non-coding RNA from Phycodurus eques (leafy seadragon), 1260 nucleotides. RefSeq lists it as uncharacterized. Lineage: Eukaryota; Metazoa; Chordata; Actinopteri; Syngnathiformes; Syngnathidae. The record is from RefSeq and is a predicted model, not a curated record. The transcript has 4 exons.
UAAUAUCAGGAGAAGGGAGACGUGGAAACAGUUAAAAGGCUCCACGUGAUUGGCCAGUUUGGAGGACACGUGACGUUGUUGGCAGCAGACGCCAUUUUUCACAGAUGUUUCUUGAUGCCAGGUUGUUUUUGAGCCUUUUGGGGCUCAUUUAAAAGAAGAGAAUGCCAUCGUCAUCAUCCCGAAAGUUGGGUUCUGAAGUCAGAAGAGUGGCAAAGAGGAGGAGGAGAUCAUCUGUCAGCCAGCAGACGGAAACAUGGGUGGGUGGUUGCAAGGCUGGAUGAAUGCGUGUAGACGAGUGAACUCCAAGACCCCAGUGCAGCUCAUCAUCAUUGCCAUGGGCUCUUCCUUCUCUCCUCCUGUGGCCCGCACCUCCAUCCAGGGGUCCAGCUCAAACCACGAAGCCCGAGCGGGGAGCUAGUGAGUGGGCAGGGAAGGAUGGAGUAGGUCCCUGAAGGCUAAAAGCACCUCUGCGGGAGAAAUCAAUAGGAAGCAUGCUCGCCUCCAUGUAGGGUUUCCUGUGCUUCUCUGUGGCCUCGGGGGCCCGCGGGCCUCCAAAGGACGGGCCCUGUGCGGCCCCUCUCAGCUGGACCGGACCCCGUCUCCACUUGGCUGCGUGUGGUUUUGCUGAGGGGGAUCUCUCCCCCCACCCAAUUGAUUCCAAUACAGUGAAUGCUGAAACACAGCCAAGAGGGAUAGUUCUUUUUCUUCAUCUUUUUCCCUACAAAAGAUUGACGUAUUCCCCACCUUCUUUCAAAACCAGUAUGAGACUUUUGACUUCUUUCCAUCCUCAGCUGUUGAUGUUUUUUCCCUUUUUCUUGGUUUGCUAUCACUAUAGUCUAUAGUGAGCCGUGCGACUGCAUGUGUUCAAACCAGAAACACAUUUCUGCGUCCAUGAUGUGUGUAGUUUUAUUCCACAAAAUGGACUGAACAGGAAAGAAGAGGACCACAGAGCUCUCAUUCUAAUGAAUGUGACACCAGAAAAUGAACUGAGAUUGUUGUGGAUCCAUAACAGUGCUAUCCUGUAAUAUAAUAGAGACCACAAAUGUGUAUGUAUUGUGAGUACAUAUGGAAAUACACUGCAAAUAAUCCAGUUUUGCCAUACAAAGUGUUUUUACUGGAAAUAAAAUUCAAAGUGUCAACAUUGUAUUUAUUUUUUCUAUUGUAUUGUGACCACUAUUUCUUUUUUAUACACUUCUGAAGAAUUGGCUUCAUAUAGUUUCCAUUAUAACAUGCUGUGUUUACAUCUUGUAUAAAUCCAUG